GUUGGGGAUAGCCGCUAGAAAUAGCGGGUAAUACCGGAUACGGUCAUGGGACUAUGGUUCGGUGAAGAAAGGAGCCUUGGCUCCGCCUGGGGAUGGGCCCGCGUUCCAUUAGGUAGUUGGUGAGGUAAAGGCCCACCAAGCCCGAGAUGGGUAGCCGGCCCGAGAGGGUGAACGGCCACACUGGGACUGAGAUACGGCCCAGACUCCUACGGGAGGCGGCAGCUAAGAAUAUUCCGCAAUGGGCGAAAGCCUGACGGAGCGACGCCGCGUGGAUGAGGAAGGCCGAAAGGUUGUAAAAUCCUUUUGCCGGGGAAGAAUAAGGCGGGGAGGGAAUGCCCUGUUGAUGACGUGAACCGGCGAAUAAGCCCCGGCUAAUUACGUGCCAGCAGCCGCGGUAACACGUAAGGGGCGAGCGUUGUUCGGAAUUAUUGGGCGUAAAGGGCGCGUAGGCGGCUGUGCAAGUCUGGCGUGAAAGGCGGGGGCUCAACCCCCGGACGGCGCUGGAAACUGCGGAGCUUGAGUCAUGGAGGGGGAGUUGGAAUUCCUGGUGUAGGGGUGAAAUCUGUAGAUACCAGGAAGAACACCGGUGGCGAAGGCGAACUUCUAGCCGAUGACUGACGCUGAGGCGCGAAAGUGCGGGGAGCAAA
Molecule: ribosomal RNA, 647 nt
Filed under: uncultured spirochete
Lineage: Bacteria; Pseudomonadati; Spirochaetota; Spirochaetia; Spirochaetales
Description: bacterial SSU rRNA
Rfam family: Bacterial small subunit ribosomal RNA
Source: RNAcentral